Molecule: long non-coding RNA, 86 nt
Organism: Diprion similis
Lineage: Eukaryota; Metazoa; Arthropoda; Insecta; Hymenoptera; Diprionidae
Exons: 3
Source: RefSeq, a predicted model, not a curated record
AUAAAUUUGUGAAAUUAUUUAAUGCUCGACUAUCUGCUCAAGGUCUUCUGUGGUUUACCUUGAGACUGUGGGCAAAUGCCAGAUAG